Molecule: unclassified non-coding RNA, 743 nt
Filed under: Leishmania donovani
Lineage: Eukaryota; Euglenozoa; Kinetoplastea; Trypanosomatida; Trypanosomatidae
Description: gene:LdHU3.27.0980(CDS-product:Stress_responsive_ A/B_Barrel_Domain_putative)
Source: RNAcentral
ACCUUUAUCAGCCAGGACAUGCUGGCACGCACUUCGUCGCAGUCAGCACGCACAUCUCUUUCGUGAGGACCUUCUGUGCCGUUCUCUGUCGGCCUGCGCUCCUAGGCAGGCAAGCUGAGGCGAUACCAUGCUCCACGUUGUCCUCUUCAAGACCGACGCGAAGAAGCUCGCGAAGGAGUUCCCUGGAAACUCCCUCGAGGAAGCGAUCGAAUCACUGCGCCAGGCCAAAAUCCCCGGCCUUGUUGACUUUAACAUACGACCCAAGAAUACCAGCCCCUGGCCAGGCUACCAGGAUGAUUCGCAGGGCUACACACACGCAUUGAUGUCGAGUCAUGUGAGCGCGAGCGCGCUGCGCACCUACGCUGAGCAUCCGGUGCACAAGGUGCUGCAGGCGCGCCUCCUAAAGUGUGUCACGGCGCCGCCUCUCCGCAUGGAUCUCGAUAUUCAUCCCAACCUGUAAAAACGAUGGCGAGGCGAAAAGAAAAACGACACAAGUCCUUCUAUUCACUUAGAUGUCAUACCUCAUAUUGCGCGUUGCCACGUAUCCGCAAGUCUCGAUAUCCGACUGCAGCUGCGCUAUGAUGUGCCUCCCUCUGUGCUUUUUUUUUUCGUCUGUGUGUGCGUGGGUGUAUAAAAAAGCGUCUAGGCUGAAGACUAGUUUGCUUAGCGGUCAUUGCGUGGCAGGCGGAGAGUGUUCAGCAGCAGAAGGCAGCUGCAGUAGCAUGCAGGAGGGGGGAGUCUGG